Molecule: RNA transcript, 1286 nt
Organism: Mytilus trossulus (common blue mussel)
Lineage: Eukaryota; Metazoa; Mollusca; Bivalvia; Mytilida; Mytilidae
Exons: 3
Source: RefSeq, a predicted model, not a curated record
AUUGAAUUUAAUCAAAUGUUAUUCGUUUCAUUACGCCUUUUGGACUGGUAAUUAAGAACAUGAUCAGUGAUGGCUUGUUUAUCUCCAUUAGAAACACAUAUAAUAAUUUGUCAUGUCCGGUCACGCUAUGACACCUUUCAUUUAAUUGAAAUGUAUCGGAUAAUCAUAUAAGCUGUUUGACCAAAAAUCCCGUUUGAAAUGUUUUUAGAAAUUGAAAUCAAAAAAGAGUAGGAUAUAUAACAAGAACAUAAUGGGGAAUUCUGUUUUCAUAUCUAAUGCCAGUUCUCACAACUUGUACGUGAAAGUUGGUUGUGACAUCGAAUAUCAGAAAGGUGCAAACAGAAAAUUCGACGCUUUUGGUGGACUUGGAGUGCAUGUUAAUAAAGAGACUCAAUGGAGUUCACCUGAUAAAUAUGGAUACACACUAGUGAAUAGAUAUACUUCUAUGGAAUUUUUCCCUGAUUCAUCAACAGGCGUCUGCUAUGUGACUAUAAAAUUCGGACUAGAUGACCAAAAGACCAUUUGCAAACAGCAUCCGCUACAAGUGAAACGUGGAUUAAUAAUUGAUAAAUCCUGCCAUGUGCAAAAUGUAAAGAAUAGAAAGAAAUGGACUGAUACGGAUGGAAUUUAUCAUAAACCAGACCCGAAAAACGAGACAACCUUAACAUCUGACGAUGAUGAGUUUCAAAAACCUGUUGAAGUCACAAGGAAAGGCAGUCUAGCAAUAGUGUUAAAUAACAUCCGUAAUAAUGACUAACUAAAGAUAUAAAAUUAAAACCAAAACUUCUCUCCACCUAGAAUUCAUGGGUAUUUUAAAUUUGUUGUAAAUUGCUACUGAAAUAAAUAUUAUAUCCUUCAUAUCUUAGAAUUUCUAUCUUGAGAAAACAUGCUGUUUGCAAAGAAAGUUGGUGAAAUCUGAUCGUAUUUAUAUAAUAGUUUUAAUAAACGUGUUUACUGAAUGAGCAUCGCGAUUUAAUACUAAUCUUUACUGUCUCAAAGUAAAUAUAAUACAGCUAAUUAGCUUGUAACAAAAACAUACAAAUUAUAUAAAUCAUAUAUACAACAAAAAAGUCAGUAAAGCAAUAGUCUAUUUUUACUCGAUUCCUAUGACAGUUAAAAAGGAACUUAGGCUUCGUACAAGUUUAAACUUGUUGGGUUCAAUUUUCCAAAUAGUUGGUAGUUUUGUUUUUCAAGUGGAAUUCAAAAGUCAGUAUUUCGAGCAACAAUUUCAGAGAAGUAAUGUAGGUCUGACCAAUGAAUGAAAUAAACGUAUGCUACUUUAAUUA